This 404-nucleotide ribosomal RNA is filed under the name Verrucomicrobiota bacterium. Its description in RNAcentral is "Verrucomicrobia bacterium partial 16S ribosomal RNA". It matches the Rfam family "Bacterial small subunit ribosomal RNA", at positions 355 to 776 of the family's 1533-position model. Lineage: Bacteria; Pseudomonadati; Verrucomicrobiota. The record is from RNAcentral.
UGGGGAAUAUUGCACAAUGGGGGAAACCCUGAUGCAGCGACGCCGCGUGAGCGAAGAAGGUUUUCGAAUCGUAAAGCUCUGUCCUAUGAGAAGAUAAUGACGGUAUCAUAGGAGGAAGCCCCGGCUAAAUACGUGCCAGCAGCCGCGGUAAUACGUAUGGGGCGAGCGUUGUCCGGAAUUAUUGGGCGUAAAGGGUACGUAGGCGGUCUAUUAAGUCAGGUGUGAAAUCCCCGAGCUUAACUCGGGAACUGCAUCUGAUACUGUUGGUCUUGAGUGCUGGAGAGGAUAGUGGAAUUCCUAGUGUAGCGGUAAAAUGCGCAGAUAUUAGGAGGAACACCAGUGGCGAAGGCGGCUAUCUGGACAGUAACUGACGCUGAGGCGCGAAAGCGUGGGUAGCAAACAGG